GAAAUGCGAUAAGUAAUGUGAAUUGCAGAAUUCAGUGAAUCAUCGAAUCUUUGAACGCAACUUGCGCUCCUUGGUAUUCCUUGGAGCAUGCCUGUUUGAGUAUCAUGAAAUCUUCAAAGUAAAUCUUUUGUUAACUCAAUUGGUUUCUACUUUGGUAUUGGAGGUCUUUGAAGCUUCACACCUGCUCCUCUUUGUUCAUUAGCUGGAUCUCAGUGUUAUGCUUGGUUCCACUCGGCGUGAUAAGUUAUCUAUCGCUGAGGACACUGUAAAAGGUGGCCAAGGUAAAUGCAGAUGAACCGCUUCUAAUAGUCCAUUGACUUGGACAAUACUUUUAUGAUCUGAUCUCAAAUCAGGUAGGACUACCCGCUGAACUUAAGC
RNAcentral lists this unclassified non-coding RNA (378 nucleotides) under plant metagenome. RNAcentral's name for it is "partial contains 5.8S ribosomal RNA, internal transcribed spacer 2, and large subunit ribosomal RNA". The stretch from base 1 to 105 matches the Rfam family "5.8S ribosomal RNA", at positions 50 to 154 of the family's 154-position model. The record is from RNAcentral.